RNAcentral lists this ribosomal RNA (482 nucleotides) under uncultured bacterium. RNAcentral's name for it is "partial 16S ribosomal RNA". It matches the Rfam family "Bacterial small subunit ribosomal RNA", at positions 28 to 523 of the family's 1533-position model. The record is from RNAcentral.
GAUGAACGCUGGCGGCGUGCCAAUACAUGCAAGUCGAGCGAACCACUUCGGUGGUGAGCGGCGAACGGGUGAGUAACACGUAGGUGAUCUGCCCAUCAGACGGGAACAACGAUUGGAAACGAUCGCUAAUACCGGAUAGGACGAAAGUUUAAAGGUGCUUCUGGCACCGCUGAUGGAUGAGCCUGCGGCGCAUUAGCUAGUUGGUAGGGUAAAGGCCUACCAAGGCGACGAUGCGUAGCCGACCUGAGAGGGUGAACGGCCACACUGGGACUGAGACACGGCCCAGACUCCUACGGGAGGCAGCAGUAGGGAAUCUUCGGCAAUGGGCGAAAGCCUGACCGAGCAACGCCGCGUGAAUGAUGAAGGCCUUCGGGUUGUAAAAUUCUGUUAUAAGGGAAGAACGACUUUAGUAGGAAAUGGCUAGAGUGUGACGGUACCUUAUGAGAAAGCCACGGCUAACUACGUGCCAGCCGCCGCUGUAA